Long non-coding RNA from Oncorhynchus tshawytscha (Chinook salmon), 676 nucleotides. The record is from Ensembl. NCBI's taxonomy places the organism in Eukaryota, Metazoa, Chordata, Actinopteri, Salmoniformes, Salmonidae.
AGGGCAGGGGUUUGGAGGGAGGAGGGUAGGAGUUUGGAGGGAGGAGAGCGUUGGUUUGAAGGUAUGAGGAAUGGAGGAGGGUAGAGGUUUGGAGGGAGGAGAGCAGGGAUUUGGAGGGAGGAGGGCAGGGGUUUGGAGGGAGGAGACCAGGGGUUUGGAGGGCGGAGAGCAGGGGUUUGGAGGGCGGAGGGCAGGGGUUUGGGGGGAGUAGGGUAGGAGCUUGGAGGGAGGAGAGCAGGGGUUUGGAGGGAGGAGACCAGGGGUUUGGAGGGAGGAGAGCAGAGGUUUGUAGGAAGGAGAGCAGAGGUUUGGAGGGAGGAGAGCAGAGGUUUGUAGGAAGGAGAGCAGAGGUUUGGAGGGAGGAGAGCAGAGGUUUGGAGGGAGGAGAGCAGAGGUUUGGAGGGAGGAGAGCAGGGGUUUGGAGGGAGGAGAGCAGAGGUUUGGAGGGAGGAGAGCAGGGGUUUGGAGGGAGGAGGUAGGGAGUAGGGUAGGAGCUUGGAGGGAGGAGGGCAGGGGUUUGGAGGGAGGAGGUAGGGAGUAGGGUAGGAGCUUGGAGGGAGGAGAGCAGGGGUUUGGAGGUGGGAUGGAUGAGAGCAGAGUUUUGGAGGGAGGAGGGAUAAGAGCAGAGGUUUGGAGUGAGAUGGAAUGGAGGAAGGCAGAGGUUUGGAGGGAGGAG